RNAcentral lists this long non-coding RNA (1366 nucleotides) under Dasypus novemcinctus (nine-banded armadillo). RNAcentral describes it as "lncRNA (ENSDNOG00000052430.1)". Lineage: Eukaryota; Metazoa; Chordata; Mammalia; Cingulata; Dasypodidae. The record is from RNAcentral.
GGCGCGAGCCUCGCCCACCCGGGUAGACCCUGAAGGUGCGCGCGGGUGGGCGGGAAGGGGCGGGGCGCGCGCCCCGAGGAGGGCAACCCGGACCCAGGCCCGGCGCACGGCACGCCCCGAGGAGCAGCGAGACUUUGGGAGGGGUCCCUUGCUACUCCCCUCCUACUUCGCUCAAAGGAAAGAUUCUUACCCUCUCCAGACCCAAAUUCCACUCCCCCUUGACAAUCACUUUCACUCUGUGAGAGAAAGGGCGACCACCAUGGGUGUGUCUGCAGCGGCCCCAUCCUCUCUGAUUCCUCGCCCAGCAGGGCAGCUGAACUGGGCACAGACCGCCACCCUUGAGUCCCCCCAGCCAGCCACCUAGGAGGUAAGAAGUCCCUCAGAGUCACCAGCACUCACAGGGAAACUGCCCUGUCUUCGUCUCCAGGGCCAUUCCCAUACAAUUUCUCUACCUCUCACACUCCCAUUCUGCAGAUACAGCAACUGAGGCUCUGAAGCUCAGGCCAGAGCAGACCUCGGGCCUGGUGAACCCAGUCCUGAAGUGGGUUUAGAUCCACUUAUGUUGCUUUGUGGGGAAUGGAGAGAAAGACAUCCCAGCUUAACUGUCUUUUCCUUCAUUGGCUGCCUAUUCUAAAGCCAACCCCCAGUUUUUCUGUCACGGCCCACUGGGUUUCCUGCCCUGUCUGUAGUUUGUGAGGUGUUGUCUGUUUUCUCACCACCUUCACUCUUUGUCCCUAGAACACAGCUUCUGGCUCAGAGGCCACUCAAAGAAAUGUUUGUUGAGUUGAAUGAAUGAAUGCAGUUUUGAGAGCACCUAUCAUGUUAGGGCUGGGAAAGGCAUGUUGAAAAUAGACUGUGGGUAGGGCUGUGAGUGGACCCAAGAGAGACAGUGGAGUUUAUUGGUGUUAAUCACAGACUCUGGAGCCAGCCUCUUUGGGUCAAAUCCUGCCUCCUCCACUUCUAGCUGUGUGAUCUUGAGCCAGUGACUUCAACUCUCUGUGCCUUGGUUUCUUCAUCUUCUAAUGUGAUCAUAAUAUGAGGAUCAACUGAGUUGAUAUGUAUAAAGUACUUGGAAGAGGAUCUGACACAUCACGAGCUGCUAGAAUUGUUGAAGUGAUCAUCAUCCUGAUUCAGGAAACAGAACAUUCAGGUUUUCAAAAUCAUCACUUUUAUCUACCUGGCCCCGUUGAAGGGGUUUUUAGCCCUUGAAGUUGGGGAAGCCACGACCAGCCUUGUCAGGGAACUAGGGAACUUAAUAGUGUACAGUUAGGUCUUCAAUUUUAGCUCUUUCUUCUUUUUUGAUGUAUGAAUUUAUGGCUAUGAAUUUCCCUCUCAGUACAGCUUUUGCUGCAUCCCAUAAGUUUUG